Molecule: ribosomal RNA, 254 nt
Filed under: uncultured bacterium
Lineage: Bacteria
Description: partial 16S ribosomal RNA
Rfam family: Bacterial small subunit ribosomal RNA
Source: RNAcentral
CGCACGGGUGCGUAACGCGUAUGCAACCUACCAUCAACAGGGGGAUAACACUGAGAAAUUGGUACUAAUACCCCAUAAUAUCUCAUGCGGCAUCGCAUGGGGUUGAAAACUCCGGUGGUUGAUGAUGGGCAUGCGUUGUAUUAGCUGGUUGGUGAGGUAACGGCUCACCAAGGCGACGAUACAUAGGGGGACUGAGAGGUCAACCCCCCACAUUGGUACUGAGACACGGACCAAACUCCUACGGGAGGCAGCAG